Long non-coding RNA from Alosa sapidissima (American shad), 104 nucleotides. RefSeq lists it as uncharacterized. The transcript has 3 exons. Lineage: Eukaryota; Metazoa; Chordata; Actinopteri; Clupeiformes; Clupeidae. The record is from RefSeq and is a predicted model, not a curated record.
AUUUCAUUUAGAUGACUUUCAUUUUCCAAAUUCAUAGGGUCAUAUUGCAGUCAGAGGACAUAUUCAACUGUAGUGAGACCACAUAGUGAGAGUGAGCCCUCCCC